RNAcentral lists this ribosomal RNA (459 nucleotides) under uncultured bacterium. Its description in RNAcentral is "partial 16S ribosomal RNA". It matches the Rfam family "Bacterial small subunit ribosomal RNA", at positions 338 to 795 of the family's 1533-position model. The record is from RNAcentral.
CCUACGGGAGGCAGCAGUGAGGAAUAUUGGUCAAUGGUCGGGAGACUGAACCAGCCAAGCCGCGUGAGGGAUGAAGGUACAGAGUAUCGUAAACCUCUUUUGUCAGGGAACAAAGGCGGGGACGUGUCCCCGGAUGAGUGUACCUGAAGAAAAAGCAUCGGCUAACUCCGUGCCAGCAGCCGCGGUAAUACGGAGGAUGCGAGCGUUAUCCGGAUUUAUUGGGUUUAAAGGGUGCGCAGGCGGUCUGUUAAGUCAGCGGUAAAAGCCCGGGGCCAACCCCCGGCCCGCCGUUGAAACUGGCAGUCUCGAGUUGGAGAGAAGUAUGCGGAAUGCGCGGUGUAGCGGUGAAAUGCAUAGAUAUCGCGCAGAACUCCGAUUGCGAAGGCAGCAUGCCGGCUCCACACUGACGCUGAGGCACGAAAGCGUGGGUAUCGAACAGGAUUAGAUACCCGGGUAGUC